CCUACGGGUGGCAGCAGUAGGGAAUCUUCCACAAUGGACGAAAGUCUGAUGGAGCAACGCCGCGUGAGUGAAGAAGGGUUUCGGCUCGUAAAGCUCUGUUGGUAGUGAAGAAAGAUAGAGGUAGUAACUGGUCUUUAUUUGACGGUAAUUACUUAGAAAGUCACGGCUAACUACGUGCCAGCAGCCGCGGUAAUACGUAGGUGGCAAGCGGUGUCCGGUUUUAUUGGGCGGAAAGGGAGUGCAGUCGGUUCAAUAAGUCUGAUGUGAAAGCCUUCGGCUCAACCGGAGAAUUGCAGUAGAAACUGUUAGACUUGAGUGCAGAAGAGGAGGGUGGAACGCCAUGUGUAGCGGUGAAAUGCGUAGAUAUAUGGAAGAACACCAGUGGCGAAGGCGGCUCUCUGGUCUGCAACUGACGCUGAGGCUCGAAAGCGUGGGUAGCGAACAGGAUUAGAUACCCGUGUAGUC
RNAcentral lists this ribosomal RNA (465 nucleotides) under uncultured bacterium. Its description in RNAcentral is "partial 16S ribosomal RNA". It matches the Rfam family "Bacterial small subunit ribosomal RNA", at positions 338 to 795 of the family's 1533-position model. The record is from RNAcentral.